UACGAAGGGGGCUAGCGUUGCUCGGAAUCACUGGGCGUAAAGCGCACGUAGGCGGACUCUUAAGUCGGUGGUGAAAUCCUGGAGCUCAACUCCAGAACUGCCUCCGAUACUGGGAGCCUUCGAGUCCGGGAGAGGUGAGUGGAACUGCGAGUGUAGAGGUGAAAUUCGUAGAUAUUCGCAAGAACACCAGUGGCGAAGGCGGCUCACUGGCCCGGUACUGACGCUGAGGUGCGAAAGCUAGGGGAGCAAACAGG
This 254-nucleotide ribosomal RNA is filed under the name uncultured bacterium. RNAcentral's name for it is "partial 16S ribosomal RNA". It matches the Rfam family "Bacterial small subunit ribosomal RNA", at positions 524 to 776 of the family's 1533-position model. The record is from RNAcentral.